ACGGGGUGCAAAAUUUUUGCUGAGAGUAAACCCGUCGAACCUGAUCCGGUUAAUACCGGCGAAGGGAUUUGAGA
Molecule: non-coding RNA, 74 nt
Filed under: Yersinia ruckeri
Lineage: Bacteria; Pseudomonadati; Pseudomonadota; Gammaproteobacteria; Enterobacterales; Yersiniaceae
Description: TPP riboswitch (THI element)
Rfam family: TPP riboswitch aptamer (THI element)
About the family: Vitamin B(1) in its active form thiamin pyrophosphate (TPP) is an essential coenzyme that is synthesised by coupling of pyrimidine and thiazole moieties in bacteria. The previously detected thiamin-regulatory element, thi box was extended, resulting in a new, highly conserved RNA secondary structure, the THI element, which is widely distributed in eubacteria and also occurs in some archaea.
Source: RNAcentral